This 415-nucleotide unclassified non-coding RNA is filed under the name uncultured Piloderma. RNAcentral's name for it is "sequence contains ITS2". The stretch from base 1 to 155 matches the Rfam family "5.8S ribosomal RNA". The record is from RNAcentral. Lineage: Eukaryota; Fungi; Basidiomycota; Agaricomycetes; Atheliales; Atheliaceae.
AACUUUUAACAAUGGAUCUCUUGGCUCUCGCAUCGAUGAAGAACGCAGCGAAAUGCGAUAAGUAAUGUGAAUUGCAGAUUUUCAGUUAAUCAUCGAAUCUUUGAACGCACCUUGCGCUCCUUGGUAUUCCGAGGAGCAUGCCUGUUUGAGUGUCAUCGAAUUCUCAACUCCAAGGGUUUCACGACCUUUUGGAGAUUGGACUUGGAGGUGCCGGCCGCACAUAUGGUCAGCUCCUCUCAAGUGGAUCAGCGGAAUUCACCCUUUUGCUUCCGGACGACAGUGUCAUAUUCAUGUCGCGCUGUCGUUUGAUCCUCAGAGGCCGCUCAUAACGGUCUUUGGACAAAUCAUCAUCAAAUUUGCCCUCAACUCAGGUAGGACUACCCGCUGAUCUCAAGCAUAUCAACAAGCGGAGGCU